RNAcentral lists this transfer RNA (68 nucleotides) under Marmota monax (woodchuck). Its description in RNAcentral is "tRNA.Ala". The record is from RNAcentral. Lineage: Eukaryota; Metazoa; Chordata; Mammalia; Rodentia; Sciuridae.
GGGUGUGGCACAGUGGCAAAGUUCUUGCCUGGCAUGCACAAGGCCCUGGGUUCAUCCCCAGCACUGCA